GACAGAGGCCACGAGCGUUAGGCGGAAUCACUGGGCUUAAAGCGUGUGUAGGCGGACCGUUAAGUGCCCGCGUGAAAUCCCACGGCUUAACCGUGGAACCGCUUGGUAUACUGGCGGUCUUGAGCCACUUAGGGGCUACCGGAACAGAUGGUGGAGCGGUGAAAUGCGUAGAUAUCAUCUGGAACGCCUAUGGUGAAAACAGGUAGCUGGGAGUGUGCUGACGCUGAGACACGAAAGCCAGGGGAGCGAACGGG
This 254-nucleotide ribosomal RNA is filed under the name uncultured bacterium. RNAcentral's name for it is "partial 16S ribosomal RNA". It matches the Rfam family "Bacterial small subunit ribosomal RNA", at positions 524 to 776 of the family's 1533-position model. The record is from RNAcentral.